This 253-nucleotide ribosomal RNA is filed under the name uncultured bacterium. RNAcentral's name for it is "partial 16S ribosomal RNA". It matches the Rfam family "Bacterial small subunit ribosomal RNA", at positions 524 to 776 of the family's 1533-position model. The record is from RNAcentral.
UACGGAGGGGGCUAGCGUUGUUCGGAAUUACUGGGCGUAAAGCGCACGUAGGCGGACUGUUAAGUCGGGGGUGAAAUCCUGGAGCUCAACUCCAGAACUGCCUUUGAUACUGGCGAUCUCGAGUCCGGGAGAGGUGAGUGGAACUGCGAGUGUAGAGGUGAAAUUCGUAGAUAUUCGCAAGAACACCAGUGGCGAAGGCGGCUCACUGGCCCGGUACUGACGCUGAGGUGCGAAAGCGUGGGGAGCAAACAGG